UGGUUCAACAUAAAAUCAUAGCCACCGUUUGGUUGGGGGUUAAGAGGUGGAAUAACCCCUUAACUCCCAAUUUAUACCCAAAUACUACUCUUUUAGGGUGGGGUUAGUAAACCCCACCCCAAACCGGGUUAGUGGGGUUUACUAAUUAACCCCACUCCCCCUCCCAACUUUAACCCCGCACGCAUCCCGAGCCCUCACCUUUUUCUUCUUUAUCAAUCAUUAACCUCACUCCUCCUUCCAACUUUAACCCCGCACGCAUCCCGAGCUCUCACAUUUUUCUUCUUUAUCAAUCAUUAUCUUCUUAUCCCACCUACUCCAACCAAACACUUUUUUUCACUAUCCUAGACUAACUCCAACCUCCAACCAAACACAAAAAAAUUUUAACACCAUUUUAACCCUGAACUUAACCCUAUCCCUGGAAUAGCUACUUUUUCUUAACCCCGAACCAAACGGGGGCAUAAAGUAUAAUUUUUCGUAGAAAAAAGUUUUGGUGAAAUUUGUUUUUUUAUAUUUUGUAGUUUUUGGUUUGUAGAAAAAAAAUAAUUUUCAAUCAACAUUUAUUUGGUUGAAAGAAAAAAUAAAAUUCACAUUUAUUUGGUCCAGUAGAAAAAAAAUGAAUGAAAAAAAUUUUACACAGUUUGAGUUUUUAUUUUUCGUUGGAAAGCUGCGACAAACUAAAACUUCAAAUUUUUUUUUUCCAAAUCCAUAAAACGUCGAGCCAAACAAAAAAAAAAAAAGCAUUUUUCAUAUUGAAAAUAAUUUGUCUAUUCGUUUUACGCCGAACCAAACACCCCUUAGCUCUUGAAACAAGCAAUUAAGCUAAAAUCAGUAUGGGCUCGACCAAUUUUAAUGUCCCUCAGUUGAGGGGCUCACACAAACACACACUAAAUUUGAGACCUCAGCCCAAAUUGGACGUGAGCCUGGCCCAGCCUGCAUUCUUACCUACCGAAAAUUUGAGAACAUUUGGCCUGCUUGUUUCUUCUUUUUUUCAACUUUAGUUAUCUCUAAUGCAGUGUUUAGUGCGCGAAAUUUCAGAGUUUUGUAUGUGGGGGAAAGUUAAAAUUAUAUUUUGAGACUGGCUUCUCCGGCAGAAAAGUUGUUAGGAUGAUUUUGACAUGAUAAUUUUCUAAUAACGCAAGGCAAACAAUAUUUCAUCCAACAGUAUUAUGCCUUAUCAUAUAUAUAUAUACAUAUAUAGAGUUGAGCUAGAAUACUAUCGAUAGCAAACGGACUCUGUUGCCACCAAUUUGUUUUCGAUGAUGGAGCCUCUAAAUCGACGAUCGGCACCGUUGAGCAUGAUCUAUACCAUUUGAAGUGUUUAGAAAUCAAAUUUCAUACAUUUUCGAUAUUGUUCUCUUAUCCAUCGAGUGGACACAAAAAUGAACGGUUGAAAAUGAAUAUUCUUUAAAAAAUAAUAAUAGGAGUCUUGUAGUCAAAAUCAAGAGUAUAGAUCUUGUUUUAAAUAGUUUAAAGAAUUUUCUAACAAAAAUGCAAUUGAUUUGGAUAUCUUUACACCGUUAAACAAGAAAACGUCUCAUAUCGACCAUUAAAAUUAUACAUUUUAAAACUCUUUGAUCAUUAGGCAAAUGAUGUCGAAAAGAUUUGAAAUUUGAUUUCUAAAUACUUCAAAUGGUAUAGAUCAUGUUCAACGGUGCCGAUCGUUGAUUUAAAGGCUCAAUCAUUGAAAACAAAUGGGUGGCAAUGGAGCCCAUUUGCUACCGAUAGUAUUCUAGCCCAACUCUCUCUCUCUCUCUAUAUAUAUAUAUAUAUAGAGUGAGGCUACUAUGCUAUCGGAAGCACGGAGCCUUCCGUGCUUCCAGCUCGUUUUCGAUGUUGCGACUUUCGAAUCGUCGAUCGGCUCCGUUAAACUUGAUCUAGAGUAUUUGAAGUAUCUAGAAAAUAAAUUUUAUGAUUUUACGAUAUCAUUUGCCUAGUGAACGAAGGGGCUCAAAAUCAACGGCUGAAAAUAAAAAUCUUACAAAAUU
This 1985-nucleotide long non-coding RNA is filed under the name Ananas comosus (pineapple). RNAcentral's name for it is "long non-coding RNA (ACOM_LNC010451)". Lineage: Eukaryota; Viridiplantae; Streptophyta; Magnoliopsida; Poales; Bromeliaceae. The record is from RNAcentral.